This 70-nucleotide transfer RNA is filed under the name Pitta sordida (hooded pitta). It matches the Rfam family "tRNA". From Rfam's summary of the family: Transfer RNA (tRNA) molecules are approximately 80 nucleotides in length. Their secondary structure includes four short double-helical elements and three loops (D, anti-codon, and T loops). Lineage: Eukaryota; Metazoa; Chordata; Aves; Passeriformes; Pittidae. RNAcentral also lists the same sequence under 1 other name. The record is from Rfam by way of RNAcentral.
GCAAACAUAGUUUCAAACCAAACAUUAGACUGUGAUCCUAAAAAUAGAAGUUAAACCCUUCUUGUUUGCC